AUGGACUGUCACCUGAGGAGC
Molecule: microRNA, 21 nt
Filed under: Bos taurus (domestic cattle)
Lineage: Eukaryota; Metazoa; Chordata; Mammalia; Artiodactyla; Bovidae
Description: bta-miR-7863
Source: miRBase by way of RNAcentral